CCUGGUGCUUAUGGCGCGGUGGAACCACUCUGAAUCCAUCUCGAACUCAGUUGUGAAACGCUGUUGCGGCUACGAUAGUUUGGGGGUUGCCCAUGCAACAAUUGCUCAGUGCCAGGG
RNAcentral lists this ribosomal RNA (117 nucleotides) under Calothrix sp. CSU_2_0. RNAcentral also lists the same sequence under 1 other name. The record is from RNAcentral. Lineage: Bacteria; Bacillati; Cyanobacteriota; Cyanophyceae; Nostocales; Calotrichaceae.